Panicum virgatum (switchgrass) is the source of this 1098-nucleotide long non-coding RNA. RefSeq lists it as uncharacterized. Lineage: Eukaryota; Viridiplantae; Streptophyta; Magnoliopsida; Poales; Poaceae. The record is from RefSeq and is a predicted model, not a curated record. The transcript is spliced from 4 exons.
ACCCCUUCCCCUUCACCGGCGACGACGGCGAUGGCGUCCAUGGGCGGUGCGUCCCUGCACCUGAUCUACGCGUGGCUGCAGAAGCGUGGUGGGGACGGCCGCUUCGUCCCCAUGGGUGGCGCACCGCGGCGUCCAAACACCUGCCAUGCUCCCUCCUCGUCCCCAACAGGCGGUGGCGGCGGCGCUACUCCACCACUGUGCCGCAGCACCCGCCUCACCGCUCGCCCCUGCUCCCCAACAAGCGGCGGCGCCGGCGCCAAGAAGACGGCGGUGGGGACGGCGCCCCUCCUCCUCGCUAAGAAGAAGGCAGGCGGCCCUUCCCCCUCCUCCACGAGCGGCAUUUCACUACAAGAGAAACCUCCUGUUGAUACGUUUUAUUCAUAGCUUUGAUAUGUUUUAUUUCGUCUUUAAUGUAGUGUAGACGCACUUUGCUAAAGCGUGUCUGGAGCGUUUCCGCAUGGACCGUGUCAAGGACCGUAGGUGCUUGCAUUUCGAUUCAGGUGAUGUAGUGUUUCCGGCGGCCAAGCGGCCCAAGAAGAAGGCCGGCGGCGCUUCCCCCUCCUCCAAGCAGCUCAAGAAGAAGUCCGGCGGCGGUGAGGAACUUCUCACGGUGAGGAACUUCUCACGUACCCGUAGGGCUUCGAUGUUGCAGCCGUACGAGCGGCAGCGGCGGCGGCGGCGCUCAAGAAGAAGCUUGAAGCCGCGGCGGCGCUCAAGAAGAAGGCAAAAGCCUUACCGGCGACCUACAAGCCGCGCUUCACCAUCAUCGACCUGCCUGCAGCCCCUGAGCAGGAGGAGGAGGAGACGAAGCCCGACGUGAGCUCUCUACAGCCCCUGAACAAGAAGGAGAGGACCAGGAAGGAGGAUGACCUUCUGGGAGCUGCACAACGGUCCCAAUUAACAGGAUGACCUUUUGGGAGCUGCACAACGGUCUGGCAGCAUCAUAGAAGAGGCAGGCCGAACUUGAAGAGGAGCUUGCCAAAGAAUAUAAAAAGGGGAAGGCACUGAAGACUGCACUGGAGCUUGCAGCCAAAAGGGCAGAACCAAGAAUUUAGAGCUUCAUGUGCAGUUGAUGGUCAAAGAUUGAAGCUUCUUUUG